CCCUUAGAUGUCCUGGGCCGCACGCGCGCUACACUGAUGCAUUCAACGAGUUUUACCUUGGCCGAGAGGCCUGGGCAAUCUUUUAAACCUGCAUCGUGAUAGGGAUAGAUUAUUGCAAUUAUUAAUCUUGAACGAGGAAUUCCUAGUAAACGCAAAUCAUCAAUUUGCAUUGAUUACGUCCCUGCCCUUUGUACACACCGCCCGUCGCACCUACUGAUUGAAUGGUCCGGUGAAGCCUCGGGAUUGUGGCCAGUUCACUUUAUUGGGAGUUGGCUGUGAGAACUUGUCUAAACCUUAUCAUUUAGAGGAAGGUGAAGUCGUAACA
This 325-nucleotide ribosomal RNA is filed under the name uncultured eukaryote. RNAcentral describes it as "partial 18S ribosomal RNA". It matches the Rfam family "Eukaryotic small subunit ribosomal RNA", at positions 1470 to 1796 of the family's 1831-position model. The record is from RNAcentral.